Molecule: non-coding RNA, 1189 nt
Organism: Equus caballus (horse)
Lineage: Eukaryota; Metazoa; Chordata; Mammalia; Perissodactyla; Equidae
Source: RefSeq, a predicted model, not a curated record
AUCCUGUGCCACUACAUGCCUGAAGCUUUAGAGCUGAACGUUUCCAAAGACAGAUGACCUUGUCAUCUUUGGCUAUUUAUGUCUGGUCAUGUGGUGGUGUGUGGAAUACUCGCCCUCUCCGCCUUCUCUCUCGGCACUGCAUGAUCCUUGAGGAUGGUGAUUCUAACUUGUCCUGUUAACAGUAUGCCUCUCCAUCUACGAGAAGGAUUUUUCAGAGACCUACCCAUGUUUCAAGGCAGAGGGAACGGAGCCAGUGCAAAGAAAAAGAGAACGGAGCUAGGGAACCGGCCUUGAAGAAGAGAGGGAUGGUACUUGAGAGAAUGGAGUCCCCAUUCAGGUCCCCAGGCCAUGCCUAUCUCACUCACCAGCCAGAGUCUCUAGGAACAAAGCGAAGGGGAGCAUGACGUAGGAGAAGCAGGGCACCCUGACUCUGAAUGCUUCAUUCUGGGAAGCUUCUUAGAAGAGAAGAGAUGAACAGAGCAGAGCAGAGAAGAGAAAGGAAGAGAAGAGCUGAACAGAGCAGAGCAGAGCAGAGCAGAGAAGAGCAGAGCAUAUUACUUAACUGUGACCCUGAAAGUAAAUCAGCAUGCUGAGGAUGUUCAGUCUGCUUGACAUUUUGAGAAAUAAUGUUUUAAGAGAAUCCUUCGCAAUUUUGUGAAAGAGGACAGAAGAGGCAAGUUGUGAGAAUGUAAAAAUCUGUACAGAUUGCCAAUGUCCUAACAUCUUUGUGAUAAAGAGACAUUAUAUUCAUGAGGAAGUUUUAAACAUCCCUUCAUAUGACGCAAAGGCUGCCUUUCUAUGAACACGAAGAUCAUGUAAUUGUAGUACAAUUCCAGCGCCUUUUUUCCUCUGGGAAUUCUGCUGCCUCAAUUAACCGGACUUCAUAAUGGAUAUAUAUGUUCAAAGUGCUACGGAAACACAGAAAUGUUAGCUAUGGAUGUGGCUGUUGAGAAAACCUGGAAAAAGGAUGAAGGAGCUUUUACUAUCAAAAUAAAAGGAAAGUAUUGGUAAGUUUCAGUGGAGGGAGAAGAUAGGGUUGCAUGAUGACUUUUGUGGGUCCUUUAUUCCAUAAAAAGAAGAUACAUAUUGGGGCUGUCCCAGCAGCUGAGUGGUGAAGUUCACAUGCUUCACUUUGGCGGCUCGAGGCUCUCAGGUUUAGAUCCCAGGCGCGGACCUACACACCGCUCAC